GACGAACGUUGGCGGCGUGCUUAACACAUGCAAGUCGAACGAAGAGCGAUGGAAGCUUGCUUCUAUCAAUCUUAGUGGCGAACGGGUGAGUAACGCGUAAUCAACCUGCCCUUCAGAGGGGGACAACAGUUGGAAACGACUGCUAAUACCGCAUACGAUCUAAUCUCGGCAUCGAGGAUAGAUGAAAGGUGGCCUCUACAUGUAAGCUAUCACUGAAGGAGGGGAUUGCGUCUGAUUAGCUAGUUGGAAGGGUAACGGCCCACCAAGGCGAUGAUCAGUAGCCGGUCUGAGAGGAUGAACGGCCACAUUGGGACUGAGACACGGCCCAGACUCCUACGGGAGGCAGCAGUGGGGAAUCUUCCGCAAUGGACGAAAGUCUGACGGAGCAACGCCGCGUGAGUGAUGACGGCCUUCGGGUUGUAAAGCUCUGUUAAUCGGGACGAAAGGCCUUCUUGCGAAUAGUAGAAGGAUUGACGGUACCGGAAUAGAAGCC
This 493-nucleotide ribosomal RNA is filed under the name Veillonella parvula. Its description in RNAcentral is "bacterial SSU rRNA". It matches the Rfam family "Bacterial small subunit ribosomal RNA", at positions 28 to 492 of the family's 1533-position model. Lineage: Bacteria; Bacillati; Bacillota; Negativicutes; Veillonellales; Veillonellaceae. The record is from RNAcentral.